Molecule: ribosomal RNA, 232 nt
Filed under: uncultured bacterium
Lineage: Bacteria
Description: partial 16S ribosomal RNA
Rfam family: Bacterial small subunit ribosomal RNA
Source: RNAcentral
UGGGCAACCUGCCCCUGACACUGGGAUAACCCCGGGAAACCGGAGCUAAUACCGGAUACUCUCGGCCGAUCACAUGGCUGGCCGAGGAAAGGUCCGCCGGUCAGGGAUGGGCCCGCGGCCUAUCAGCUUGUUGGUGAGGUAACGGCCCACCAAGGCGACGACGGGUAGCCGGCCUGAGAGGGCGACCGGCCACACUGGGACUGAGACACGGCCCAGACUCCUACGGGAGGCA